RNAcentral lists this ribosomal RNA (445 nucleotides) under uncultured bacterium. RNAcentral's name for it is "bacterial SSU rRNA". It matches the Rfam family "Bacterial small subunit ribosomal RNA", at positions 335 to 797 of the family's 1533-position model. The record is from RNAcentral.
ACUCCUACGGGAGGCAGCAGUGGGGAAUAUUGGACAAUGGGCGCAAGCCUGAUCCAGCCAUGCCGCGUGAGUGAUGAAGGCCUUAGGGUUGUAAAGCUCUUUUGUCCGGGACGAUAAUGACGGUACCGGAAGAAUAAGCCCCGCUAAGCUUCGUGCCAGCAGCCGCGGUAAUACGAAGGGGCGUAGCGUUGCUCGGAAUCACUGGGCGUAAAGGGCGCGUAGGCGGCCUUGUAAGUUGGGGGUGAAAGCCCGUGGCUCAACCACGGAAUUGCCUUCGAUACUGCUUGGCUUGAGUGUGGUAGAGGUUGGUGGAACUGCGAGUGUAGAGGUGAAAUUCGUAGAUAUUCGCAAGAACACCGGUGGCGAAGGCGGCCAACUGGACCAUCACUGACGCUGAGGCGCGAAAGCGUGGGGAGCAAACAGGAUUAGAUACCCUGGUAGGUGA